GAAGAUUACAACCCAUAUAACUCUGCUCGCAUUAGGAAGAGGCGUUUCUGGACUGCUAGUGAAGCAAAUUUCUAUUCCUCAGUGUUGUUCAACAAGGAGAAGAUCUUCUACCAUGAGCAUAUUCCUCACAUGGAUAUGGAAUCUCUGCCGUGCUUCGCACCAGUCCUUAGUGUUCUUCAUGAUGCUGGACUGCUAAACUUUUGCUCUGACAUCUGCGAUUGGAAUAAAGAACUGAUUCUUCAAUUCUAUGCAACGAUACACAUCACCGGAGAUGCUGAAGAUGUGAAUUCAUGGGUGCUGGACUGGAUGUCUGAAAACACUCACUACACU
RNAcentral lists this ribosomal RNA (330 nucleotides) under Triticum aestivum (bread wheat). RNAcentral's name for it is "partial small subunit ribosomal RNA". The record is from RNAcentral. Lineage: Eukaryota; Viridiplantae; Streptophyta; Magnoliopsida; Poales; Poaceae.